Molecule: long non-coding RNA, 1178 nt
Filed under: Heterocephalus glaber (naked mole-rat)
Lineage: Eukaryota; Metazoa; Chordata; Mammalia; Rodentia; Bathyergidae
Description: lncRNA (ENSHGLG00100047206.1)
Source: RNAcentral
GCAAUUCUUCCAAGGUUAUGUAACAGUGUUCAAACAGUACAGUGGGAAUUGUACUACCUACUUCAGAGAGAGAAAUGUGAAAUACAGAGCUCAGUCACUGGUGACAGAAGAUGGAAAUACCUAAAAGACAGUGAGACAGUCCAGCGCUGGGACAUUGGAUUCACCAUGGCUGGGAUGAGGAGACGAGUUCUCACCAAGGUGCUAAAUUGCCUAGGCUGGUCUUGAACUUGCUAUCCUCCUGCUUCAGCCUCCCAGAGAAGUAGGAUUACAGAUUUUGGCACUGACAAUUUAUUGAACGAAGAACAAAGCACAUGCUUUUAAAAUCAAGCCUGGAAAUGAAGAUAACUUUUUGACAAUUGAACUUUAAAACUAUUUAGUACAAAAUUAAAGAGUAGGCUUUCUUCCUAAUGCCUCUGUGCUAGUUAGUGUUACCUCUCCUCAAAUAAUAUAUUCCCUGCACAAUGGGACGCUGUGUGUGUCUGUGUGUUGGAAUGAGGAGAGUAUGUGUUUGGAUACAGCUGGGAAAGGGAGACUUUCACUUUUGACAGGAAAGAAACAGCAACUACAUCUGCUAAGUUUCUGUUUCUAUAAAAAGAAUACCUGCUAGCCUGCUGACAUGAGGCAGACUCAACUGCAAUGUUGAAAGAUUAAGGCCAGCUGGUGUUUUUCCAGUUGAUUUGCAUUUCUGGAGCUCAAGGUGAUCCCCCUGUAUUUUUAACGGAUGUCUGUGACUCAAAAAGUUGGCAUGUUAAGAGGAUGCUGGUGCUACCUCUUCUAAAGACAUAAGAAAUCAAGUCUGAGAGAAACACAAAUAGAGAUGAUUAACAUCAAAGUGGUUAAUUUGCAAUAAUUGCUAUAUGCAUGUUUAUCAUGUUGAUUAAGUCUAUUUAUAAAGGGCCUAAGUAUAAUCUAUAUCCUGAAAUCGUGUGGGAAAGGUGCAGGAAUGCACAGAAAGAAAUUAUAUCCCUAUGUUGGAAAAAAAGGAACUGUUCAAUUAAAUGAAAGAGGAAUUGGCCAUAAAAAUUGGAUUGGGUUCAAGCAAAACAAGCUCUGUAAGCCUACUAGGCAAAAUAUCAUUGGUCAUAUCUUAUAUACAAAAUAAUUAUUGACCACUUAUCUUAUAUUUGUCUUCCCUUCUUCCCACUAUGCAUGCCCAAUACCACCACCAACAACUUAAG